This 586-nucleotide ribosomal RNA is filed under the name Escherichia coli O157:H7 str. 1125. RNAcentral describes it as "SSU rRNA". It matches the Rfam family "Bacterial small subunit ribosomal RNA", at positions 947 to 1533 of the family's 1533-position model. The record is from RNAcentral. Lineage: Bacteria; Pseudomonadati; Pseudomonadota; Gammaproteobacteria; Enterobacterales; Enterobacteriaceae.
UAAUUCGAUGCAACGCGAAGAACCUUACCUGGUCUUGACAUCCACAGAACUUUCCAGAGAUGGAUUGGUGCCUUCGGGAACUGUGAGACAGGUGCUGCAUGGCUGUCGUCAGCUCGUGUUGUGAAAUGUUGGGUUAAGUCCCGCAACGAGCGCAACCCUUAUCCUUUGUUGCCAGCGGUCCGGCCGGGAACUCAAAGGAGACUGCCAGUGAUAAACUGGAGGAAGGUGGGGAUGACGUCAAGUCAUCAUGGCCCUUACGACCAGGGCUACACACGUGCUACAAUGGCGCAUACAAAGAGAAGCGACCUCGCGAGAGCAAGCGGACCUCAUAAAGUGCGUCGUAGUCCGGAUUGGAGUCUGCAACUCGACUCCAUGAAGUCGGAAUCGCUAGUAAUCGUGGAUCAGAAUGCCACGGUGAAUACGUUCCCGGGCCUUGUACACACCGCCCGUCACACCAUGGGAGUGAGUUGCAAAAGAAGUAGGUAGCUUAACCUUCGGGAGGGCGCUUACCACUUUGUGAUUCAUGACUGGGGUGAAGUCGUAACAAGGUAACCGUAGGGGAACCUGCGGUUGGAUCACCUCCUUA